GUAGUCUGCAACUCGACUACAUGAAGCUGGAAUCGCUAGUAAUCGCAGAUCAGAAUGCUGCGGUGAAUACGUUCCCGGGUCUUGUACACACCGCCCGUCACACCAUGGGAGUCGGAAAUGCCCGAAGCCGGUGACCCAACCAAAAGGAGGGAGCCGUCGAAGGCAGGUCUGAUAACUGGGGUGAAGUCGUAACAAGGUACC
RNAcentral lists this ribosomal RNA (201 nucleotides) under uncultured bacterium. RNAcentral's name for it is "partial 16S ribosomal RNA". It matches the Rfam family "Bacterial small subunit ribosomal RNA", at positions 1300 to 1500 of the family's 1533-position model. The record is from RNAcentral.